GACGAACGCUGGCGGCGCGCCUAACACAUGCAAGUCGAACGGAGUUAAUUGAAUUGAAGUUUUCGGAUGGAUUUUUGGUUAACUUAGUGGCGAACGGGUGAGUAACGCGUGGGUAACCUGCCUUUCAGAGGGGGACAACAGUUGGAAACGACUGCUAAUACCGCAUAAUGUCAUCGAGCGGCAUCGCUUGAUGACCAAAGAUUUAUUGCUGAAAGAUGGCCUCGCGUCUGAUUAGCUAGUUGGUGGGGUAACGGCCCACCAAGGCGACGAUCAGUAGCCGGUCUGAGAGGAUGAACGGCCACAUUGGGACUGAGAUACGGCCCAGACUCCUACGGGAGGCAGCAGUGGGGAAUAUUGGGCAAUGGGGGAAACCCUGACCCAGCAACGCCGCGUGAAGGAAGAAGGCCUCGGUUGUAACGUUCUUUAGUCAGGGACGAAGAACGUAGACGGUACC
RNAcentral lists this ribosomal RNA (454 nucleotides) under uncultured bacterium. Its description in RNAcentral is "bacterial SSU rRNA". It matches the Rfam family "Bacterial small subunit ribosomal RNA", at positions 28 to 479 of the family's 1533-position model. The record is from RNAcentral.